GGCAAAGGAUGUGCGUCUGCCCAGACAACCAGGAUGUUGGCUUAGAAGCAGCCAUGCAUUCAAAGAGUGCGUAACAGCUCACUGGUCGAGUGGACAUGCGCCGACAAUACACGGGGCUAAGCUGGACACCGAAGCGGCGGGAUUUUAAUUCAUUAGAAUCGGUAGGGGAGCUUCCCAUGGGCGGAGAAGCCGGAGGGCGACCGACGGUGGAGCGCAUGGGAGUGAGAAUGCUGGCAUGAGUAGCGAGAGACGAGAGAGUAACUCGUCCGCCGUGAACCCGAGGUUUCCUGGGCAAGGCUAAUCCUCCCAGGGUCAGUCGGGGGCUAAGGCGAGGCCGGUAGGCGUAGCCGACGCGCAGCAGGCAGACAUUCCUGCACCGCGCACGCGGCGCUACGACCGACGGGGCGACGGAUGGGGGUGGCUCGGCGGGGUUCUGGACGUCCCCGUGAUGGAGCGCGGCCCGCGGACCAGGGAAAUCCGGUCCGCAUUGAGGGCGAGGCUCCGGACGAAGCGAUCAAGCGAAGCGAGUGAGCCCGAGGUCCCUAGAAAAACCCCUAGGCAGGCGCGUGCGCGCCCGUACCGCAAACCGACACAGGUGGGUGGGUAGAACAUACCGAGGCGAUCGGGUCAACCAUGGUCAAGGAACUCGGCACAAUGGCCCCGUAACUUCGGGAGAAGGGGUGCCCGCGCGUACGUGAACCGGCUUGCCCGGGGAGCGGAGGCGGGCCGCAGUGGAGAGGCCCAAGCGACUGUUUACCAAAAACACAGGACUCUGCAGAAGCCGCAAGGCGACGUAUAGGGUCUGACGCCUGCCCGGUGCCGGAAGGUCACGCGGAGGAGUUAGCCGUAUCGGCGAAGCCCCGAAGCCAAGCCCCGGUAAACGGCGGCCGUAACUAUAACGGUCCUAAGGUAGCGAAAUUCCUUGUCGGGUAAGUUCCGACCUGCACGAAUGGCGUAACGACUUCCCCACUGUCUCGACCAGGAGCUCGGCGAAAUUGCAGUACGAGUAAAGAUGCUCGUUAAGCGCAGAAGGACGAAAAGACCCCGGGACCUUUACUAUACCUUGGUAUUGGCAUUCGGUGUGGAUUGUGUAGCAUAGGCGGGAGGCUUCGAAGCGGGUGCGCCAGCAUUCGUGGAGCCGCAAGGUGAAAUACCGCUCUGUUCUCGUUUGACGUCUAACCUCGACAAGUCAUCCUUGUCAGGGACAGUGCCUGGCGGGUAGUUUAACUGGGGCGGUUGCCUCCCAAAGAGUAACGGAGGCGCUCAAAGGUCCGCUCAGCCCGGUUGGCAAUCGGGUGUCGAGUGUAAUCGCACAAGCGGGCUUGACUGCGAGGACGACGGUCCGAGCAGGGACGAAAGUCGGAGAUAGUGAUCCGGUGCCGGCGCACGGGCGCGGCAUCGCUCAACGGAUAAAAGGUACCCCGGGGAUAACAGGCUGAUCAUUCCCAAGAGUCCAUAUCGACGGGAUGGUUUGGCACCUCGAUGUCGGCUCGUCGCAUCCUGGGGCUGGAGCAGGUCCCAAG
This 1523-nucleotide ribosomal RNA is filed under the name human gut metagenome. Its description in RNAcentral is "bacterial LSU rRNA". It matches the Rfam family "Bacterial large subunit ribosomal RNA", at positions 1065 to 2569 of the family's 2925-position model. The record is from RNAcentral.